GGGGAUAUGGCGAAAUUGGUAGACGCUACGGACUAAAAUCCGUCGACUUUAAAAAUCGUGAGGGUUCAAGUCCCUCUAUCCCCA
This 84-nucleotide transfer RNA is filed under the name Malva acerifolia. RNAcentral's name for it is "Malva canariensis tRNA-Leu". It matches the Rfam family "tRNA". From Rfam's summary of the family: Transfer RNA (tRNA) molecules are approximately 80 nucleotides in length. Their secondary structure includes four short double-helical elements and three loops (D, anti-codon, and T loops). Further hydrogen bonds mediate the characteristic L-shaped molecular structure. tRNAs have two regions of fundamental functional importance: the anti-codon, which is responsible for specific mRNA codon recognition, and the 3' end, to which the tRNAs corresponding amino acid is attached (by aminoacyl-tRNA synthetases). tRNAs cope with the degeneracy of the genetic code in two manners: having more than one tRNA (with a specific anti-codon) for a particular amino acid; and 'wobble' base-pairing, i.e. permitting non-standard base-pairing at the 3rd anti-codon position. RNAcentral also lists the same sequence under 24 other names. The record is from RNAcentral. Lineage: Eukaryota; Viridiplantae; Streptophyta; Magnoliopsida; Malvales; Malvaceae.